RNAcentral lists this ribosomal RNA (617 nucleotides) under uncultured fungus. Its description in RNAcentral is "eukaryotic LSU rRNA". It matches the Rfam family "Eukaryotic large subunit ribosomal RNA", at positions 24 to 664 of the family's 3401-position model. The record is from RNAcentral. Lineage: Eukaryota; Fungi.
CCCGCUGAACUUAAGCAUAUCAAUAAGCGGAGGAAAAGAAACCAACAGGGAUUGCCCCAGUAACGGCGAGUGAAGCGGCAACAGCUCAAAUUUGAAAUCUGGCACCUGGUGCCCGAGUUGUAAUUUGCAGAGGAUGCUUUUGGCGAGGCGCCUUCCGAGUUCCCUGGAACGGGACGCCAUAGAGGGUGAGAGCCCCGUCUGGUUGGAUGCCGAGCCUCUGUAAAGCUCCUUCGACGAGUCGAGUAGUUUGGGAAUGCUGCUCUAAAUGGGAGGUAUAUGUCUUCUAAAGCUAAAUAUUGGCCAGAGACCGAUAGCGCACAAGUAGAGUGAUCGAAAGAUGAAAAGCACUUUGAAAAGAGGGUUAAAAAGUACGUGAAAUUGUUGAAAGGGAAGCGCUCAUGACCAGACUUGGGCCCGGUGAAUCAUCCAGCGUUCUCGCUGGUGCACUUUGCCGGGUCCAGGCCAGCAUCAGUUUGCCCCGGGGGAUAAAGGCUUCGGGAAUGUGGCUCCUCCGGGAGUGUUAUAGCCCGUUGCAUAAUAUCCUGGGGCGGACUGAGGUUCGCGCAUCUGCAUGGAUGCUGGCGUAAUGGUCAUCAGCGACCCGUCUUGAAACACGG